GGAGAGAUGGCUCAGUGGUUAAGAGCCGGACUGCUCUUCCAGAGGUCCUGAGUUCAAUUCCCAGCACCCACA
This 72-nucleotide transfer RNA is filed under the name Mus musculus (house mouse). RNAcentral describes it as "tRNA-Ser". The record is from RNAcentral. Lineage: Eukaryota; Metazoa; Chordata; Mammalia; Rodentia; Muridae.